CAGCACCUCAAGUGGUCAGGAUGAUUAUUGGGCCUAAAGCAUCCGUAGCCUGCUUUGUCAGUUUUCGGUUAAAUCCAUACGCUCAACGUAUGGGCUGCCGGGAAUACUGCAAAGCUAGGGAGUGGGAGAGGUAGACGGUACUCGGUAGGAAGGGGUAAAAUCCUUUGAUCUAUUGAUGACCACCUGUGGCGAAGGCGGUCUACCAGAACACGUCCGACGGUGAGGGAUGAAAGCUGGGGGAGCAAACCGGAUUAGAUACCCGAGUAGUCC
This 270-nucleotide ribosomal RNA is filed under the name uncultured archaeon. RNAcentral describes it as "partial 16S ribosomal RNA". It matches the Rfam family "Archaeal small subunit ribosomal RNA", at positions 477 to 747 of the family's 1478-position model. The record is from RNAcentral.